Long non-coding RNA from Cannabis sativa, 4557 nucleotides. RefSeq lists it as uncharacterized. The transcript is spliced from 3 exons. The record is from RefSeq and is a predicted model, not a curated record. Lineage: Eukaryota; Viridiplantae; Streptophyta; Magnoliopsida; Rosales; Cannabaceae.
UAUAUGCAUAGAAAAAGAGAGAGAGAUAUACGAAAUAGAUGGUUAGUUAGAUUCAAAUGAUUUGAAUUAAAGAUUUGUUUUUAUUAUAAAAUAGUAUUUUUAAAAUAGUUUUAAGAGGAUAGUUAGUUAGGUUAUACUAAGGAAAACGUCUAAUACUACUCACAUUGAAAACCUAUUCUGCCUCUUCUCCUCCAUAUUGUGCUACCUUCACAUUCCAAAAUUCUUAUGUUCUCAUUUCAUUCCAGCCAAAUACACACCUAAAAUCAUCACCACCUUCUCCUUGUGUAGUACAUCAUCAACCGUAAGGGUGAAUAUGAUUCUAAGACUUUGGGAAAAUCAAAGGAUAGCAAAAAGAAUAAAAGUGUUCGAGUGAUUUGAAUGGUUGAUCGAGUGUUGGAAAUCACAAUUCGAAAUCCCUGCCACCUCAAUCAUUCGUUGGGUAGUAGUGACGAGAUAACAAGUCUUAAGCAGCGGGAUUUGAGGUAUUAGACAGGGAAGUAUGUAUAGUGAGCAGGGUCAGUUCUGGUAUGUAUACUGUGAGCGGCUACGGGCGGACAAACGAUCUUGAACGCCGGUGGUGCCUUAGUUUUAUUUUAAGCAGUUGAUAAAUCUAACACAGUGGAAAUGCAUUAUUUAAAAUUAUUUACUUACUGUAUCUUGUUUUACAAAUGAAGGAUCAUUCUCUGUUGCAUUUUGAUUUUUUUUAAAAUCCACUGUUGUAUUUAAAUUAUUUUUUUUUUAUCUUUUCAAAUUAUGCAUGAAAAUAGUAUUUUUGUAAAAUAAGGCAAAAUAUCGGGGCGUUACAGUUGGUAUCAGAGCCGAUCGUCCGUUAGCCCGAAGGAUACUCACGGUAUACAUACAGAAGACUGAAAAAGAUCCAUCUCACUAUUAUGUAAGUGUUAGUAUUAAUUUUCUUGGUAUUGCCAUUAAUAGUCUUAUAUGUGAUACAUAUAAUUAGAGCCUCAUCUUAGGUGGUGCUUAGAGACAUCAAUAGUACCCUCUAUCUCUUAUGAUUGAUUACACUUUUUAGGAAGAAGAUGUAUAGGUUUAUAUUUCUUUAUUGUCUUGAAUUGAACUAGGAAGGACCGUGUUCCUUUCUUGAAAAUUUAGAAUAAAUUAUAUUAGGAGUUCAUAAGACUUUAUUUGAUAAAUAGAAUAUUACUAGUUAAGCUUGACAACAUUAAGUUUAGAUAUGUACAUAGAAUCUUCUCUUCCAAUAAUUGAACUCUUUUGUUUCUUUUAAAUCAACCUUUCUUGUAAGAGCUCACACAUGAAACUAGAAGAUCAGUUAGAAUCAAUGUGAAAGGAACGACCAAUAGAGGUGGGGGCUAAGGAUGUGUGUUCCGCUGACCCACAGAUGGUUGAUGUUCCAGAGAACCCAAUAAUAGUUAAGGCUAACGAUCUAAUAGAGGUAUUGGAAGGACUACGAGCAUGACUAAGACAAUUUGUUGAAGAGUUUUCACAGGCUCAGCAAAAUAUCACCAACACUAGUAGUGGAACUUGAAGCACAUAAUGAAAUGUACCAAUAGCCAACUAAGUACCGACGCAUAUAUUUUCACCUAUCUAUGAAUGGUUGAAGAAGCGGUCUCUACACCUAGCCAUGAAUGGAAGCCCAACAUAUAGGAAGUAGGGAUGACUUAGAAUAGUAGACGUUAUACCAGACUGGGACAGUAUAAUUUACGAAAACCUACUUAUUAAGAAGGAUGAAAUAAUAGAUCUUUAAGGAGAAGGUACUAUCUUGUUGGAUAUUCUAUAAGUUACACACUCCUAAGUUAGAUGGUAAGAAGUAUGAGUACUGUAUGCAAAGACAUUGGAGAUAAGUAUGUUAUAGAAAUGAGUCAGGAGAGGACGAUGCCAUCAUAUAGAAAGGAGUGUAGUGUGCUGAAUAGAAUCCAAAAUGAGAAGUUAGAAAGAGACAUGAUAAAAUUACUAGAGGUAAUAACUUAUGAAGGUAUCUUAAACACUAAGAGAUAAGCAGAGCAUCAACAAAUAUUAGAUUAUCGAAGGAAAGUUGUAAACUUUAAACUCAAGGUCAUCUACUUGGUGGAGGAGAUAAUAGAGAAAAAUGUGUAUGGUUUUGACAGAGGCAUUUUCAAAGGAGAAAGACAAAAAAAAGUCCAGGCACGGCUAACAAUUUGGGUACAACAUAAAUGAGAGACAACUAAGAGGGUGACUACUCGGAAUUGAUCACAACUACACAACUAAGAGAUUGUGGAUGCAGCUUUGUGGCGGGUGUACAACAAACAACUAUAGAGAGUAGAUCGCAAAUUCAAAACUUGAGAAAGAGGAGGAAUUAGCAUUCAAGGGUGACAUCCCUAGAUUCCAAAUACUCACUGAUACAACAACAAUGGUGUGGAGUAUAGCUCAAUGAGAAAAUGUUAGGAAAGCCUCACUUAGAGACAGGAGAAAAGUGAGACACAAUUAGGACCAAAGUAACAUAUAUUGAAGAAUGUCAUGGCAUGUCAAGGACCAUACAAGUUUUUGAUAAGUGUUGGGAUUAGAAAAUACACUCAUGCAACAUAAAGGAAUUCAAGGCACAACGUAAGCAAAGGAUACUACAAUCCAAUUACGGCUUAUAUUAUGGGCAAUAGUAUAAGUAUGUUGGAGUGUCAUCUAAUGAGAAACUAAGAGGAAAACUCACAAAGUCCAGCCCUGCUGAAAAGAGAUGGUGUUUCUAGGCCCUAUAGUGCCCGAGAAGAAAAUGACUAUGGAUUUGUCAAAAGCUAAAAUUGUUAAGAGCAAAAAAAAAAGGAAAAAUAUUAAAUAUUUUUCUCAAUCUAAAAAGGCAGUAAUAGAGAUCUUUGGAAGGACUCUCUCAAGCUGACAAUAACUAACUUAUUGCACACUACUAAGUCUUGUCCAAUUGAAAGUGCAAAAGUUAGAAGAAGAAAAAAAAAACAAGAUAGGUAUUGAUAAUUUGGUGGCAUUUGGAUGAAAAAUGAGACGCUUGAACGAAUUAUUGACUUGUGCUUAAAGGUAGUAUGUGAAGUAAGAAUAAAAAAUUCCUGACUAAGGAAUUAUAAAUAGUGAGUCUCUAGUAAUAAAUUAAAUACAAGUAGGGGUAUAGGAGGUAUAAUAGUGAUGGACAGAGUAAGGUCUGUUCGGCAUAGUUUGCAAAUUAUAUAUAGUAUCCUUACCCUGAUAACUUGGCUGAUCAAUACAUUGUGAGAUUGGUAUGGUUGACUUAUUGUUAAAAGUCAACAUAUAAUAAAUAGUUAGGCUACGAUAAGCCAUGGUAGGGUUGAACUUAUUUUAAAAGGGUUAUUAGUGUGCUUUCUAUGUUUUAAUACAUAUAUGGUAUAGUCUUAAGUAAAUAAUCAGUAUUGGAAUGUAUGUUUAAGAGAUUUAAAAGUUUUAGAAGUACAAUUAAGAAGAUAUUUUUUUGGUGAAUUAAAGAAGGCUACAAUAUACAGGGCAUGAAUAUGGCUGGAAUGAUCAAUGCUAUGAUAAGUAUGAAAUUAUGUGAUACCUUAGAUGGCUAGUAUAUUAGAAGAAGCAAUCAUUGAACAUAACUAUCAGAAUCUAUCGGCAUUACAGAUUCAAAGUUCACCACUAUAGCAAGAUAAUACCAAAGUAGACAAAAGUUAUUGUGUAAAACUAGCUAAUCUCAUAAUUAAGUCGACUUGAUUGGAAGAGCAUUGGAGGACCAGGAACCAGAGGAGAGAUUAGCAAAGAAGAUACAAUAGAGUGAUACAAGAAUCAAGAGAUUGAAAAAAAAAGGAAUCAAAGAUUAUACUAUACGAGAAAUAGAAGGAAGGACAAGUGCAAUGAACAUACGACUAAAUGAAACUAAAAAGCGAGCUCAUACUGAGUGGUGGCUGAAUGGAUCAUUAAAAUUAUAUAAGGAAUUAUAAAGGGCCUGAAUGCUUUUUCUCAGUGUUAUGGGAACAAGUAUCUAUAACUGAUAAAGUAACAGCUAUGAAACUAUAGGUGACACCGUGACUCUAUGGUGGGAAUUAAUAAGUAGAAAAUCAAGCUUCUCGUAUGUAGUAACAUUCAAAGGAAGAGUAUGAAUAGUAAAGAGAAGUUAGCAUAAAGUUUUCUACCCUACAAUUUAUUGUAUGUUAUUUUUUUUUUAUUGUAUAGCGUAUUCUCAAGUGACGUGUAAGGAUGUUCAUAAGAGAAUAAAUAGUUUGUCUCUUAAUGGCAUGUAAGGAUGUUCAUAAGAGAAUAAAUAGUUUUACUCUUAAUGGCGUUUACGGACGUUCAUAAAAGAAGAAAAACUUUUAUAAUAUUACGGGCAUGAUAUUGCAAAACUUAUGUAAAGAAUAUAUUUAUAAAUUACCAUUAUUUAAAUUAUGAUAGAUUAUGUUUUGUUAUUUAAGUAAUGUAUAGAGGAAUAACAAUAUUUAAAUUAAGUUGUAUAUGUUAUACAUGUUAUGGUUUGACUGGUAAGGAAAGAUUAAAUACUUGUCUUUGGGUCCACAUGGUAGAUAGAAAGGCAACAUAUUGGUAAAUGAGAUAAAGGCCUAAUACUCUCAGUGUUUGAAAAGUAAAAUUUCGAGGACGAAAUUUCUUUUAAGGAGGGUAGAAUGUAAUAUCCAAUUUAAGUAUGUU